Molecule: unclassified non-coding RNA, 352 nt
Filed under: Cercozoa sp.
Lineage: Eukaryota; Cercozoa
Description: partial contains small subunit ribosomal RNA, internal transcribed spacer 1, and 5.8S ribosomal RNA
Rfam family: Eukaryotic small subunit ribosomal RNA (bases 1-47)
Source: RNAcentral
AAAGUCGUAACAAGGUUUCUGUAGGUGAACCUGCAGAAGGAUCAUUAAAACGUAUCCACGUAUCAAACCCCUCUGUGCAACUCUAAAUAACGUGAGGCUGGUCUUAGUACACUCGUUCGCAUAGAUCUUAAUGAUGGGAGGACCUAUUUCGGGAGGGACUCGGGAUCUGAGCGAGUGUGCGUUUGACGAUUGGCCGCUAUUUUCCCAUUGUUAGGACAACCACAUUUUUAACCCCUUUGUACUCUUUUGUACUGAACCAAAACUUCUCGAGUUUACUCUCUAAAACGAGUGAGCACGAAAAGAUAUUACGAAACUAAAAGAACAACUCUUAGCAACGGAUAUCUUGGUUCCC